GCCCCCGUGGCCCAAUGGAUAAGGCAGCGGCCUUCUAAGCCGUUGAUUGCAGGUUCGAGUCCUGCCGGGGGCGCGA
This 76-nucleotide transfer RNA is filed under the name Euzebya pacifica. Its description in RNAcentral is "Euzebya sp. DY32-46 tRNA-Arg". It matches the Rfam family "tRNA". Rfam says of the family: Transfer RNA (tRNA) molecules are approximately 80 nucleotides in length. Their secondary structure includes four short double-helical elements and three loops (D, anti-codon, and T loops). Lineage: Bacteria; Bacillati; Actinomycetota; Nitriliruptoria; Euzebyales; Euzebyaceae. The record is from RNAcentral.